UGCAUUUCUGUCGUCUUACGCUCCCUUCUCCCCAGUUACCUUGUCUGUUAUUUUUAAAUCCUGCUGAAGUAUAUACAACUCUACAAGCGGGUUCUCAAAUCCUUUUUUUGGAACAAGACUGAAGGAGUACUGCAUAAAUAAUCAUAUUGGAAUUUUCAGGAUAUUUCAAUGGUUUGUGGUGUCCAAAUAUGUGAAAUUGAGGCUGUUCCAGUAAAUCUGGAAUGAAUUGACACUCUAUGCACAGAGUACGGACCUGUGUGUACAGUAUGCAUAUGUACGCACACACACGCACACAUGAAUUCUUUUCUUGGUCCAGACAGUGGCACUGGCAGUAAAACUAUCAAUUCCAAACCGAAAGAGCCCACUCAGCACUGGCCUGGCUGCCCAGGAUCCUGCAGGGCAGAAGUUGGGGAACAGAUGGUGGUCUGAAUGGUGACCUUGGAUGGCUGGAGGCCGGCGCCUGUGAACAAGUGAUGAUGCUGCUGGCAAGUCUGGAACCAGGCUGCGAAGCGGCCUGUGCUUCCCCAUCAGAGAUCUUUGGUCCAAGCUCUUCUGCUGGUGAUUUCCUGGGUCCUGACUUGCAUUUUCUCCCCUCAUCCCCGCUCGUGGGGAGCCCUGAGCCAGCUGCCAAGGACCCCGGCCAAGCCUUCGGGUUCCAGUUCCUGAAGGGUGGAGAGGAUGUCAUCCUCCUGUGUAUGCAGUUUUGCAUCCUGUUGUCUUGGUUUCACUUAAGAUCGUCAACAUUUCACAUGUGCUGUAUGGUCACAAACGGUCACAUUUGUGGCAUCUUCCUUGUACUGGAAGAAAGGACCACCCUUAUCUCGGAGGAAAAGGGAUGCCAAGAAGGAUCUGAACAAGCAGGGCUUGCUAGGUCUCCCCCUGGUGGAGCACUCACCUCGUCUUCCUGCCCUCUGGUGUUCCCACACGGCAAACCCAGCAUCGAAAUCCUCAGGCCUGUUUCUUCGGGUCUUCAUUUCUCUAUGAAGGCUCCUGUGUCGUGUAAUAAAUUAUUAAUAAAUGUGCAUAGUUUU
This 1031-nucleotide long non-coding RNA is filed under the name Equus caballus (horse). Its description in RNAcentral is "lncRNA (ENSECAG00000058229.1)". Lineage: Eukaryota; Metazoa; Chordata; Mammalia; Perissodactyla; Equidae. The record is from RNAcentral.